RNAcentral lists this ribosomal RNA (691 nucleotides) under uncultured Alphaproteobacteria bacterium. Its description in RNAcentral is "bacterial SSU rRNA". It matches the Rfam family "Bacterial small subunit ribosomal RNA", at positions 28 to 751 of the family's 1533-position model. Lineage: Bacteria; Pseudomonadati; Pseudomonadota; Alphaproteobacteria. The record is from RNAcentral.
AGCGAACGCUGGCGGCAGGCUUAACACAUGCAAGUCGAACGAGAAACUAGACUUCGGUUUAGUGGAAAGUGGCAGACGGGUGAGUAACGCGUGGGAAUCUACCUUUGAGUGGGGAAUAACAACUAGAAAUGGUUGCUAAUACCGCAUAUACCCUCCGGGGGAAAGGCUUCGGCCGCUCUUAGAUGAGCCCGCGUACGAUUAGUUUGUUGGUAAGGUAAAGGCUUACCAAGACUACGAUCGUUAGCUGGUUUGAGAGGAUGAUCAGCCACACUGGGACUGAGACACGGCCCAGACUCCUACGGGAGGCAGCAGUGGGGAAUAUUGGACAAUGGGCGAAAGCCUGAUCCAGCCAUGCCGCGUGAGUGAAGAAGGCCUUAGGGUUGUAAAACUCUUUCGGCAGGGAAGAUAAUGACGGUACCUGCAGAAGAAGCUCCGGCUAACUCCGUGCCAGCAGCCGCGGUAAUACGGAGGGGGCAAGCGUUGCUCGGAAUUACUGGGCGUAAAGCGAGCGUAGGCGGUUAAUCAAGUUGGUGGUGAAAGCCCAGAGCUUAACUCUGGAACUGCCAUCAAAACUGAUUGACUAGAGAUUGGUAGAGGAAAAUGGAAUUCCUAGUGUAGAGGUGAAAUUCGUAGAUAUUGGGAAGAACACCAGUGGCGAAGGCGAUUUUCUGGGCCAAUUCUGACGCUGAGG